UUAAUUGAAGAGUUUGAUCAUGGCUCAGAUUGAACGCUGGCGGCAGGCCUAACACAUGCAAGUCGAGCGGUAACACAAGGGAGCUUGCUUCUGAGGUGACGAGCGGCGGACGGGUGAGUAAUGCCUAGGGAUCUGCCCAGUCGAGGGGGAUAACAGUUGGAAACGACUGCUAAUACCGCAUACGCCCUACGGGGGAAAGGAGGGGACCUUCGGGCCU
This is a ribosomal RNA of 217 nucleotides. It matches the Rfam family "Bacterial small subunit ribosomal RNA", at positions 1 to 222 of the family's 1533-position model.